UAGUAAUCGCGGAUCAGCAAGCCGCGGUGAAUACGUUCCCGGGCCUUGUACACACCGCCCGUCACACCAUGAGAGUCGGGAACACCCGAAGUCCGUAGUCUAACCGCAAGGGGGCGCGGCCGAAGGUGGGUCCGGUAAUUGGGGUGAAGUCGUAACAAGGUAAC
This 164-nucleotide ribosomal RNA is filed under the name uncultured bacterium. Its description in RNAcentral is "partial 16S ribosomal RNA". It matches the Rfam family "Bacterial small subunit ribosomal RNA", at positions 1336 to 1500 of the family's 1533-position model. The record is from RNAcentral.